GGGCUGGUAGCUCAGUCGGUAGAGCAGUGGACUUUUAAUCCAUUGGUCGCGAGUUCGAGUCUCGCCCAGCCCA
This is a non-coding RNA of Advenella kashmirensis WT001, 73 nucleotides long. The record is from Rfam. NCBI's taxonomy places the organism in Bacteria, Pseudomonadati, Pseudomonadota, Betaproteobacteria, Burkholderiales, Alcaligenaceae.